GAUUAACGCUGGCAGCGUGCAUAACACAUGCAAGUCGAACGAUGAAACUUUAAUGAACCCUUCGGGGAGAAUUAAAGCGGAUUAGUGGCGAACGGGUGAGUAACGCGUGAGUAACCUGCCUUACACAAGGGGAUAGCCUUUGGAAACGAAGAAUAAUACCCUAUAAAACCAUAAAAGCACAUGCAAUUAUGGUCAAAGUGAUAGCGGUGUAAGAUGGACUUGCGUCUGAUUAGCUAGUUGGUGAGAUAAAAGCCCACCAAGGCAACGAUCAGUAGCCGGCUUGAGAGAGUGUACGGCCACAUUGGGACUGAGACACGGCCCAGACUCCUACGGGAGGCAGCAGUGGGGAAUUUUGCACAAUGGGGGAAACCCUGAUGCAGCGACGCCGCGUGAUUUAGAAGGCCUUCGGGUUGUAAAAAUCUUUUGUAUAGGAAGAAAAUGACAGUACUAUACGAAUAAGGUCCGGCUAAUUACGUG
This 477-nucleotide ribosomal RNA is filed under the name uncultured bacterium. RNAcentral describes it as "partial 16S ribosomal RNA". It matches the Rfam family "Bacterial small subunit ribosomal RNA", at positions 28 to 507 of the family's 1533-position model. The record is from RNAcentral.